GUGCAGAUUCUCUGAAUGAUCCGUUUGUGCCUAACGAUUUUGCGAUGAUGGUUCUAAUCCUAUGUCUUUGGAAGUCUCUAGGAGGGCUUGACAAAUCUCUAUUUGACUUCUAUAUGGAUCAUAAAGUGAAAUGUUUGAAGAGGAAGUUAUCAUGUGCUGGAAGAAGAAACAUGAAACUGAAGCUGUGUACUGAUUUCCCGUUUAUUCUAUUUCCCUGCUUCAAUGGCCACUUAAUUUUGGUCUUCACUCAAUUUUCUGAUGUGAAACCUCGGAUUCUUGCGUGGAGAGGGUUCUGUUCAAAAAUCUUCAGCGAGUAAGAGUAUGGAUUUUGAUGCAUCUGAUGUUCCAUUUGCUACAAGAGUUGAGUCAAAUUUUGGUGAUCAUUUUGGCUCUGAGUUUGCUCAUGAACUUGUGGAUCUUGUUCAGGCCAGACAUCAAGAGAAGCCUAAGAUUUUUGUUGAAUGUUCAGAGUCUCUCAUUGUUGAUGUAUUGAAUUGUGUGUUGCAAUCUUCUUUUCUUGCAAACAUUCAUGCUUCCGUGGAAGUUUUUGGCAGUGAGAAUCAUUCACUGAGCAAGUUCUCAUUUGGUUAGUUUCAUCUUUUUUACUUUCGCUUUCAUUUUAUUUCCCUGUUUAUUUUUUUCUUUUGGUUUGUUCAUAAUUCAAUUGACUGCUAGUUUUUUCUGUGAUUUUGCAUGCAAUAAGAGUGUUUCUAUUCAAUCUGCUAUCCCCAAUACAAAGUCUGCGAGAUUUGAUGAUAUUCCAGGGAAGUGAUAUCCGUUUUGUUU
Molecule: non-coding RNA, 786 nt
Organism: Triticum urartu
Lineage: Eukaryota; Viridiplantae; Streptophyta; Magnoliopsida; Poales; Poaceae
Source: RefSeq, a predicted model, not a curated record